This 253-nucleotide ribosomal RNA is filed under the name uncultured bacterium. RNAcentral's name for it is "partial 16S ribosomal RNA". It matches the Rfam family "Bacterial small subunit ribosomal RNA", at positions 524 to 776 of the family's 1533-position model. The record is from RNAcentral.
UACGAAGGGGGCUAGCGUUGUUCGGAAUUACUGGGCGUAAAGGGCGCGUAGGCGGUGUGUCAAGUCAGGCGUGAAAGCCCCGGGCUCAACCUGGGAACCGCGCUUGAGACUGGCACGCUAGAGUUCGGGAGAGGAUGGUGGAAUUCCCAGUGUAGAGGUGAAAUUCGUAGAUAUUGGGAAGAACACCGAUGGCGAAGGCAGCCACCUGGACCGACACUGACGCUGAGGCGCGAAAGCGUGGGGAGCAAACAGG